UUCUUUGCGCAGAGGCAGUAACAUAGCUAAUGAGGUUCAAACCGAGGCGUGUUUAUUGCUAAUUGAAAACUAUUCCCAAUACCCCGCCUAGAAAACUUCGAUUUUCUAUCUAUUUUUUGUAUCAAUUUCACAAUU
RNAcentral lists this small nuclear RNA (135 nucleotides) under Hofstenia miamia. RNAcentral describes it as "U4 spliceosomal RNA". It matches the Rfam family "U4 spliceosomal RNA". Rfam says of the family: U4 small nuclear RNA (U4 snRNA) is a component of the major U2-dependent spliceosome. The structure of U4 snRNA from yeast and human has been reported. The record is from RNAcentral. Lineage: Eukaryota; Metazoa; Xenacoelomorpha; Acoela; Hofsteniidae.